This 325-nucleotide ribosomal RNA is filed under the name uncultured eukaryote. RNAcentral's name for it is "partial 18S ribosomal RNA". It matches the Rfam family "Eukaryotic small subunit ribosomal RNA", at positions 1470 to 1796 of the family's 1831-position model. The record is from RNAcentral.
CCCUUAGAUGUUCUGGGCCGCACGCGCGCUACACUGAUGCAUUCAACGAGCCUAUCCUUGACCGACAGGUCCGGGUAAUCUUUGAAUCUGCAUCGUGACGGGGAUAGAUUAUUGCAAUUAUUAAUCUUCAACGAGGAAUGCCUAGUAGGCGCAAAUCAUCAGCUUGCGUCGAUUACGUCCCUGCCCUUUGUACACACCGCCCGUCGCUCCUACCGAUUGGGUGUGCUGGUGAAAUGUUCGGAUCGGCCGUUUGUCGCGGUUUCCGCGUCAUGUGGCUGAGAAGUUCAUUAAACCCUCCCACCUAGAGGAAGGAGAAGUCGUAACA